UACGGAAGGCAGCAGUGGGGAAUAUUGCACAAUGGGCGCAAGCCUGAUGCAGCCAUGCCGCGUGUAUGAAGAAGGCCUUCGGGUUGUAAAGUACUUUCAGCGGGGAGGAAGGCGAUGCGGUUAAUAACCGCGUCGAUUGACGUUACCCGCAGAAGAAGCACCGGCUAACUCCGUGCCAGCAGCCGCGGUAAUACGGAGGGUGCAAGCGUUAAUCGGAAUUACUGGGCGUAAAGCGCACGCAGGCGGUCUGUUAAGUCAGAUGUGAAAUCCCCCGGGCUUAACCUGGGAACUGCAUUUUGAAACUGGCAGGCUUGAGUCUUGUAGAGGGGGUGAAUUCCAGGUGUAGCGGUGAAAUGCGUAGAGAUCUGGAGGAAUACCGGUGGCGAAGGCGGCCCCUGGGACAAAGACUGACGCUCAGGGUGCGAAAGCGUGGGGAGCAAACGAGGAUUAGGAUACC
RNAcentral lists this ribosomal RNA (457 nucleotides) under uncultured bacterium. RNAcentral describes it as "bacterial SSU rRNA". It matches the Rfam family "Bacterial small subunit ribosomal RNA", at positions 340 to 786 of the family's 1533-position model. The record is from RNAcentral.